AGAAGGGCUUUCAAAGAGAUCAUCUGGGGCAAUGGGCUGCACCCUGUCUGCGUUCUAGAAUUGCCUGGUAGAGUGAGGAGGGCACCUGCAGACCCUACUACUGUGCUGGGGAGGCUCAAAUCCUUGAGCCCAGGAAUUCAGCACCAGCCUGCACAACAACAACAAAAAGAAUGAUCUGGUGGGCUUUCCAUAGCUGCCAAUAUCCAGGACCCACCCUAGAUUAAUUAAACCAGACUGGAGCACCACCCAUCAUUUCGCAGAUUAAAGAGAGAAACAAGCAAAAUUCAGAACCUUCAAAGAUGGAAUGUGGCUUUGCAUUAGGAGUAGCAUGAUUGGGAACUCCCAGCUCUACAGAAGCUUAAGAAGCAAACUUCAAAAAGUUUCCAUAAUGAUGUGUUGGGCCACACGAAUUGAUUCUACAAGUAAAAGAAUUGAAGAAUUUCUCCCUCGUGACCUAAUUGCUCGUUUUAUAUACGUUCACAUCCCUGGCUGAUGGCAGAGGGGCUGGAAAUGGUCAUUGUCUUGAAAGGUCUCACAAUCAUUUUUCAAACUCAGGCACCCUUCUAUGGGUGGCUGUGCUCCCAUAAACUUCCUGAAAACUCUGGCCAACUGGUGAUAUAAUUGAGCUUCGUGGUUACUAUUCUGUGAAUUUUUUUGGCUUGUGUGUAUUUAAAAUGUAUAUAGAAAAAGCAGUAUUUGCCCCAGUGUCCACUAACGCUGUCAGAUCACCUUUUUUGUUGUUGUUGUUUUUAUACUGGAGAUUGAACCUAGGAAUGCUUAACCACUGAGCCACAUCCACAGCCCUUUUUAUUUUUUAUUUUGAGAUAGGGUCUCACUGAAUUGCUUAGGGCCUCAAUGAUAAAUAGCUGAGGCUGGCCUUGAACUUGCAAUCUUCCCACUUUGGCCUCCGGAUUACAGGUGUGUGCCACCACGCGGGGCUGUCAAGCCAUUUGUGAACUGUUGAACUCUACACUGGCCUGUUUUGUUUGUUUUGAUUUUUAAAUGGAAGCAAAAGCCAGGUGUGAUGGCACACACCUGUAGUCUCAGUGGCUCCGGAGGCUGAGGCAAGAGGAAUACAAGUUCAAAGCCAGACUCAGCAAUUUAGCAAAAGUCUAUUUCAAAUAAAUAAAUAAUAAAAAGGGGACUGGGGAUGUAGCUCAGCGGAAAGCACCCCUGGGUUAAUUCCCCAGUACUGGGGGGAAAAAAAGGCAGACACCAUGCGGGGAGGGUGAUCCACGUCCACAGUUCAGGGAUCCUCUGGAAGGGUCUCGAGACAGCAAAAGGCCAUGGGAAGAGCAGGCUGCUUCUUGAGACUCAGCAGACUUUGAGCCAUCCUGGCAAACAGCAUGCCCUUGCCCACCUCCCCAGCCCUUCCCCGCCAGGGCUGGCCUGCUUGUAGGCAAAGGGGGCUUCAGUUAUUUUGACUGCAGGGCCUGGUCCUGGGCUGGCUGUUCUCUCAGGCCCUGAACCUCCCGGGAGAGGUCCAGGAAGCUUUGAUCAAAAUUAUUUGCCUUGGGCUAAGAGACCUCGGGUUGGCCACUCCUGGAUCGCCCUAAUAAGGCCGGGACCUAGGAUCACAGAUGAGAACCUCUUGUUCUUUUUCUUUUUUUUAGCAAAGGAAAUGCUGAGAUGCAAGGACUCCAACUAUAGGGUUACUACUAGGAGAGGGUAAGUGAAAACGCAGUGGAUCUGUGAAGAAGAAUACCUUCGACCCUCUACUAGGAGCCUGGGAUAAGGAGCAGGACUUCACUGUGUUUGUGGCUGGCUAGGAGGGCCACCCGGAGGCACCCAAGGCCCCUGGUUAGUCAUUCCAAUGGAUGUGAAAACAGGUGGGCAGUUGAGCCUCCUUAUUCUACUUUCCUCCAAGUUCGAAUUCUCUUCAUUAUCUUUUAAAACAUGCAAAUUAGUCAAGGACCUAGCGACCAGCUCUGAGGCAAAAAAAAAUGCAGGGGAGGGGGAAGGGAGAGAAGACUUUCAAAAGUGUCUUAGAGAAAGAUUCUCAUGUAGCCAUUAAAAAGAAUGUUUGUAAAAAAGAUUAGAAAUAUUUAAAGUUAAUGAAAUACUGAAUUUGGCUGUUUGGUUAUUUCCCUCAUAGUCUGGGUUUUUUAUACUUCCCUCUACCCUCCACAUGGACACAGUGAACAUACAUCACUAUGAUAAUUAAAAAAUAAGAUAAAUACUAAAACAAGGAAAUGCAAGUAGAUGUGGCUUUGGAGUUUCCAUCUUUCCUAAGAUGGACAUUGAUAAGUUUUUGGUUUUGUUUUUGAUACUGGGGAUUGAACCGAGGGGUGCCACAUUCCCAGUCCUUUUUAUUUUUUCUUUUGAGACAGGGUCCCACUCAAUUGCUGACGCUGGCCUUGAACUUGCAAUCCUCCUGCUGGGAUUACAGAUGUGCACUACUCGCCCAGCUAGCUGUAGACUGGUUUUGUUUGUUUGUUUGUUUUUGGAACUGAGGAUGUACAGGGUCUCACUGAGUUGCUUAGUACUUGCUUUUGCUGAGGCUGGCUUUGAACUCACAUUCUCCUGCCUUAGCCUCCUGAGCCGCUGGGAUUACAGGCAUGUGCCACUGCGCCUAGCUAGCUGUAAAUUUUAAAAUCAGAAAAAUGGCCAAAUGCAGUGACACAUGCCUGUAUUCACGGCCACUUGGGAGGCUGAGGCAGGAGGAUUGCAAGUUUGGAGGCAGCCUCAGCAAAUUAUCAAGGGUUCAAUCGCCAGUACCAAAUUAAAAAAAAAAUUAAAAGCUAAAUCGGAAAAAAUGUUAACAUUUCAUCUCAUUGUUGCUGUAAAUAAGAAUAAGUAUCUGUGAGGAAAACGAGUCAAGCUUAAAGUCAGAAUUUGAGGGAUACCUAAAGACACCAGAACUUUUUCCCCGCAUUAUUAUUACAGGAGUCAUCAGAAGGCGGACUGGAGAAAAUUGAAGACAAGCAUAUAAGGGUUUUCACCAUAAAAUUAAUUCAUCAUUAUUUGAGUGAGACCCUCCAAGGAUCCGCGCUCAGGAGACGAGGGGGCGGGGCUACAGUCCUCUUGGAAGUGACUUGACAAGCGCCAGCAGAAUCGUCAUUCUCUUCAUAUCUGCAUCUGGGGAUGUAUCCUAAGGAAAUGCUGUGAUUCUAGAUAGAGAGAAAGGCUCAUUCACACUCACGACCUUAUUCACAAUUGUACAGAGGAAGGGGCGUUGACUUGAUGGAAUAUUAGGUAGCCACGAAAGGCGUUCUCCCGGAGAUGAGAAGAAAAUGCUGCGAAUACUAAGUUUAGCCAGGCACGGUGGCGCAGGCCUAUGGUGGCUCCGGAGGCUGAGGCAGGAGGAUCCUAAGUUCAAAGCCAGCCUCAGCAACUUAGGAAGGCCCUGUACAAUUCAGUGAGUCAGGGUCUCACUAAAAAAUAAAAAAUUAAAAUUAAAUAAUAAAAUUAAAAAUAAAAAAGGCUGGGGAAGUGGCUCUGUCAUUAAGCUCCCUUGGGGUCAAUACCUGAGGGGAGGGAGAGACAGGAAAGACAAAAGAAAGCAGGGGCUGGGGACACAGCUCAGUUGGUAGAACCCAUGCACAAGACCCUGGGUUAGAUCCCCAGCACCACCUCCAAAAAAAAAAAAAAAAAAAAAAAAACCCACAGAUCUAAGCUGCAUAUGCAGAGUCUAGGGCUCCUGCCUGGCUCUAUACUUCAUAGGUGUGUGACCUGAACCUGGCAGUGGUGUCCCUGGGCCCAGUUUUCGGACUGAAAUGACUUAACACAUGCAAAGAACAGUGCCUGUCCCAUAUUGCGCCCUUGACAAAUGUAAGCUGCUGUUAUUAUUGCAGUGUGAUUAUGACCAGGUUUAAAAGAAAACUGUUGCAAUGAUUGUGUUUGGAUGAUGGCACUGCUGGGGAUUUUUGAUUUUUUCUUCUUUUUACCUUUUCGUUGUCCAAAUUUUUCAUUAAAUAUGUCAAUUUAUUCAAAAACUAAGUUGGAGCUCAUCACAAAUAAAG
This 3962-nucleotide long non-coding RNA is filed under the name Marmota monax (woodchuck). Lineage: Eukaryota; Metazoa; Chordata; Mammalia; Rodentia; Sciuridae. The record is from RNAcentral.